Molecule: long non-coding RNA, 329 nt
Organism: Gossypium arboreum
Lineage: Eukaryota; Viridiplantae; Streptophyta; Magnoliopsida; Malvales; Malvaceae
Exons: 2
Source: RefSeq, a predicted model, not a curated record
AUCUUCAACCCCAUAGCCGAAUAUAGCAAGGAGAAACCAUGGCUAGGGUUUUUCAAGCUUCCAAGCUUGAUUGUAAGUCCGUUCUAGCAUCGUUUUUAAUGAUUUUUACAUUUUUGGAGUCCCGUUUUGACAAGCCAACUCGGAAAUCGGGAACGGUCGGAGGUUCGCUCACACUAUCUGUAUACCAUCUUGGCAUAAUGGCUUGUAUAUUUUGAGUAUGGCAUGUAUAGCAUUAUAAUCAUUUUGUAUAUAUGGUCUUAUGAUAUGGUUAUUGAGUGGUAUGGAAAUGCUUGGUAAUGAUUAGCCAUUGGAAUGGCUAAUCAUGAUCA